GAUGAAGAACGUAGCGAAAUGCGAUACGUAGUGUGAAUUGCAGAAUUCAGUGAAUCAUCGAAUCUUUGAACGCACAUUGCACCUCUCGGUAUUCCGGGAGGUAUGCCUGUUCGAGCGUCAUUUGUACCCUCAAGCUCUGCUUGGUGUUGGGUGUUUGUUCCGCCUCUGUGUGUGAACUCGCCUCAAAACAAUUGGCAGCCGGCGUACUUGUUUCGGAGCGCAGCACAUUUUGCGAUCCAGAUCAACGUACAGCGGCAUCCAAGAAGCCUUAUUUAACGCUCUUGACCUCGAUCAGGUAGGGAUACCCGCUGAACUUAAGCAUAUCAAUAAGCGGAGGA
RNAcentral lists this unclassified non-coding RNA (338 nucleotides) under soil metagenome. RNAcentral describes it as "partial contains 5.8S ribosomal RNA, internal transcribed spacer 2, and large subunit ribosomal RNA". The stretch from base 1 to 120 matches the Rfam family "5.8S ribosomal RNA", at positions 35 to 154 of the family's 154-position model. The record is from RNAcentral.